CAGCCGCCGCGGUAAUACGGGGGGUGCAAGCGUUAUUCGGAAUUAUUGGGCGUAAAGGGCGCGUAGGCGGUUUUGUCGGUCAGAUGUGAAAGCCCAGGGCUCAACCCUGGACGUGCAUUUGAAACAGCAAGACUUGAGUACGGGAGAGGAAAGCGGAAUUCCUGGUGUAGAGGUGAAAUUCGUAGAUAUCAGGAGGAACACCGAUGGCGAAGGCAGCUUUCUGGACCGAUACUGACGCUGAGGCGCGAAGGCGUGGGUAGCGAACAGGAUUAGAUACCCUGGUAGUCCACGCAGUAAACGAUGUUCACUCGGUGUAGCGGAUAUUAAAAUCUGCUGCGCCCAAGCUAACGCAUUAAGUGAACCGCCUGGGGAGUACGGUCGCAAGACUAAAACUUAAAGGAAUUGACGG
Molecule: ribosomal RNA, 409 nt
Filed under: uncultured bacterium
Lineage: Bacteria
Description: bacterial SSU rRNA
Rfam family: Bacterial small subunit ribosomal RNA
Source: RNAcentral